Oncorhynchus tshawytscha (Chinook salmon) is the source of this 3005-nucleotide long non-coding RNA. The record is from Ensembl. Lineage: Eukaryota; Metazoa; Chordata; Actinopteri; Salmoniformes; Salmonidae.
CAGCUACUCUUCCUGGGGUCCACAAAAAACAUGAAACAUGACAUAAUACAGAACAUUAAUAGACAAGAACAGCUCAAGGACAGAACUACAUAUAAUAAAAAAUAAUAAAAAACACAACUACUGACCCCAUAACUACUGACCACAACCACACAACUUAUGACCACAACCACACAACUAUUGACCACACAACUAGUGACCACACAACUACUGACCACAAUUACUGACCACAACCACACAACUACACUACCGUUCAAAAGUUUGGGGUCACUUAGAAAUGUCCUUGUUUUUGAAAGAAAAGCAAGUUUUUUGUCCAUUCAAAUAACAUCAAAUUGAUCGGAUAUACAGUGUAGACAUUGUUGAUGUUGUAAAUGACUGUUGUAGCUGGAAACGGCUGAUGUUUAAUGGAAUAUCUACAUAUGCGUACGGAGGCCCAUUAUCAGCAACCAUCACUUCUGUGUUCCAAUGGCACAUUGUGUUAGCUAAUUCAAGUUUAUCCAUUUAAAAGGCUAAUUGAUCAUUAGAAAACCAUUUUGCAAUUAUGUUAGCACAGCUAAAAACUGUUGUCCUGAUUAAAGAAGCAAUAAAACUGGCCUUCUUCAGACUAGUUGAGUAUCUGGAGCAUCAGCAUUUGUGGGUUCGAUUACAGGUUCAAAAUGGCCAGAAACAAAGAACUUUCUUCUGAAACUAAUCAGUCUAUUCUUGUUCUGAAAAAUGAAGGGGAGGACACCUCACACCCAUUGUAAAUCUUAAGGCAGCAGACGAAUCCUUUGUCCUCUCAGUGUGGAGGAUUGGAAUGUUUGUGUGGGCCUAUGAAGAAUCUACCUCAGAACAGUAACAUGCACUAAAUGGACUUGGGGACAAUAUAUUUCAUUAGCCAAAAUGGUGGUAAUAACGAUAGAUGUAAUAUGAACAUUUUUGUCAUUUUUGUUAUGUUAUUAAAUGUUAAAUGACAAUGUUAAAAUGAAAACAUUAUAACUUGAAGAGUUUUCAUAAAAUGUACAUGAUGUUUGCAUACCGUGCAUUGUGUGGAAAAUGUCCAUAUCAAAGAGAAUGUUUUUGUAAAAGUGAACUGUGAAAUUGAGUUGUCUAAUGAGAUCAAAGUACAUUGUGAUAGCUUGCCUUGUAACUAGAUACACCCCAGAGAACUUGCCAUGAAGACAGAAACAUCCCUUUCUGACCCGACGGUAUAAAACUUGUGAGUUAAGAAUUUACAAUUCAGACUAGAUGACCACGCGCUGCAGGCAAGGUCUACGAUUAGUCGCAACCCCAAAACGCAACACGAGGUUGAAGAAGACAAAGGAACCUCUUAACAAUCAAUGCUACGGUUGAGUAGCUGUAUCUGUAUCUAAGAAGGUGAAUUCAAGCAGGACCACCCCGUUAUUCUCUCAAAGGAAUAUUGUGUCUACACUGCUUUCAUUCCCACGCUGGAACAAUUUACAUGGCUGAUUAGCCUUCCUCAGAAGACCCCUCUUACAGAACGAGGGCGAGGAAACAGACCACGAAGAGAAAGGACACUGACAUCGUGUGAACAAUCAAAGACUUACACCCGGUGACAAAAGAGGAGCCGCCAUUAGAGGAGAAGGCGGGAACUCAGUCCACGAAGAGAGACCCCAACGGAGACCUUCGACGAGACCUGAGCCCUAGGACCAUGCCCCAGGACUACCUGACAUGAUGACUCCUUGCUGUCCCCAGUCCACCUGGCCGUGCUGCUGCUCCAGUUUCAACUGUUCUGCCUUAUUAUUAUUCGACCAUGCUGGUCAUUUAUGAACAUUUGAACAUCUUGGCCAUGUUCUGUUAUAAUCUUCACCCGGCACAGCCAGAAGAGGACUGGCCACCCCACAUAUGCUCUCUCUAAUUCUCUCUUUCUUUCUCUCUCUCGGAGGACCUGAGCCCUAGGACCAUGCCCCAGGACUACCUGACAUGAUGACUCCUUGCUGUCUCCAGACCACCUGGCCGUGCUGCUGCUCCAGUUUCAACUGUUCUGCCUUAUUAUUAUUCGACCAUGCUGGUCAUUUAUGAACAUUUGAACAUCUUGGCCAUGUUCUGUUAUAAUCUCCACCCGGCACAGCCAGAAGAGGACUGGCCACCCCACAUAGCCUGGUUCCUCUCUAGGUUUCUUCCUAGGUUUGGGCCUUUCUAGGGAGUUUUUCCUAGCCACCGUGCUUCUACACCUGCAUUGCUUGCUGUUUGGGGUUUUAGGCUGGGUUUCUGUACAGCACUUUGAGAUAUCAGCUGAUGUACGAAGGGCUAUAUAAAUAAAUUUGAUUUGAUUUGAUUUAUAGAUACAGGCAGACAUACAUGCCCACCAGCGUGUCUUCACCCACGCAACCCUAUUAUAGCCACACUGGGUUAUUUUUAAUAACAAGGCUCUUCAUUUGCCUUUCGCGUUAAUUGUUUAACACUGGGAAAGGUAUGAUGGUCAGAUGUGAGCCAACUGUUACUUCCUUUGGACAACUGUGGCUAAGUUAAUUAAACAGUAUUUUUCCAUCACUCUACGACCAUUAAUAACAAUCCCCUCUGACGUUGUCCACUUCAACUGUUCCUUAGGGUGUAGUUAAGAUUCACGUUUGGAACAGCAAGUGCUGUUUGUAUUUCCAUUGCACAAGUGAUGUCAUUAGUUCAAAUUCCCUUUUGACAUACAGAGUUAUUAUUAAAGUGAAAUAUACAGAUAGAUACAGUGGGGAGAAAUACUAUUUGAUACACUGCCGAUUUUGCAGGUUUUCCCACUUACAAUGCAUGUAGAGGUCUGUAAUUUUUAUCAUAGGUACACUUCAACUGUGAGAGACGGAAUCUAAAACAAAAAUCCAGAAAAUCACAUUGUAUGAUUUUUAAGUAAUUAAUUUGCAUUUUAUUGCAUGACAUAAGUAUUUGAUCAACUACCAACCAGUAAGAAUUCCGGCUCUCACAGACCUGUUCGUUUUUCUUUAAGAAGCCCUCCUAUUCUCCACUCGUUACCUGUAUUAACUGCACCUGUUUGAACUCGUUACCUGAAUAAAAUACAUCUG